This 253-nucleotide ribosomal RNA is filed under the name uncultured bacterium. Its description in RNAcentral is "partial 16S ribosomal RNA". It matches the Rfam family "Bacterial small subunit ribosomal RNA", at positions 524 to 776 of the family's 1533-position model. The record is from RNAcentral.
UACGUAGGGCGCAAGCGUUGUCCGGAAUUAUUGGGCGUAAAGAGCUCGUAGGUGGCUUGUUGCGUCUGCCGUGAAAGCCCGUGGCUUAACUACGGGUCUGCGGUGGAUACGGGCAGGCUAGAGGCUGGUAGGGGCAAGCGGAAUUCCUGGUGUAGCGGUGAAAUGCGCAGAUAUCAGGAGGAACACCGGUGGCGAAGGCGGCUUGCUGGGCCAGUCCUGACGCUGAGGAGCGAAAGCGUGGGGAGCGAACAGG